CCAAUAGCGUAUAUUAAAGUUGUUGCAGUUAAAAAGCUCGUAGUUGAAUUUCGAGACCGGUUUAUUGGUCGUGCUUUUGUACGUACUGGUAUUAUUGGUUUCUCCUUUCUGACGAAUCAUAAUGCCAUUAAUUUGGUGUUUUGGGGAAUCAGGACUGUUACUUUGAAAAAAUUAGAGUGUUUAAAGCAGGCUCACGCUUGAAUACAUUAGCAUGGAAUAACGAAAUAGGACGUUUGAUUUUAUUUUGUUGGUUUCUAGGAUCGACGUAAUGAUUAAUAGGGAUAGUUGGGGGCAUUAGUAUUCAAUUGUCAGAGGUGAAAUUCUUGGAUUUAUUGAAGACUAACUACUGCGAAAGCAUUUGCCAAGGAUGUUUUCAUUAAUCAAGAACGAAAGUUAGGGGAUCGAAGACGAUCAGAUACCGUCGUAGUCUUAACCAUAAACUAUGCCGACUAGGGAUCGGAUGAUGUUAAUUUUUUAAUGACUCAUUCGGCGCCUUACG
RNAcentral lists this non-coding RNA (499 nucleotides) under uncultured Glomus. RNAcentral's name for it is "SSU rRNA". It matches the Rfam family "Eukaryotic small subunit ribosomal RNA", at positions 591 to 1092 of the family's 1831-position model. RNAcentral also lists the same sequence under 1 other name. The record is from RNAcentral. Lineage: Eukaryota; Fungi; Glomeromycota; Glomeromycetes; Glomerales; Glomeraceae.